AAUCAACGCUGGCGGCGUGCCUCAGACAUGCAAGUCGAACGCGAAAGUUUCCUUCGGGGAACAAGUAGAGUGGCGCACGGGUGAGUAACACGUAGGUAAUCUACCUUUGGAUGGGGAAUAACAACCGGAAACGGUUGCUAAUACCGCAUAAUGCAGCGGCACCUAAUGGUGACAGUUGUUAAAGCGGGGGAUCGAAAGACCUCGCGUCUGAAGAGGAGCCUGCGGCGGAUUAGCUAGUUGGUAAGGUAAUGGCUUACCAAGGCGACGAUCCGUAACCGGCCCGAGAGGGCGGUCGGUCACACUGACACUGACAUACGGGUCAGACUCCUACGGGAGCAGCAGUCGGGAAUUUGGGCAAUGGGCGAAAGCCUGACCCAGCAACGCCGCGUGAAGGAUGAAAUCCCUCGGGA
Molecule: ribosomal RNA, 410 nt
Filed under: uncultured bacterium
Lineage: Bacteria
Description: bacterial SSU rRNA
Rfam family: Bacterial small subunit ribosomal RNA
Source: RNAcentral